This 305-nucleotide ribosomal RNA is filed under the name uncultured bacterium. Its description in RNAcentral is "bacterial SSU rRNA". It matches the Rfam family "Bacterial small subunit ribosomal RNA", at positions 336 to 638 of the family's 1533-position model. The record is from RNAcentral.
UUCCUACGGGAGGCAGCAGUGAGGAAUAUUGGUCAAUGGGCGGGAGCCUGAACCAGCCAAGUCGCGUGAGGGAUGACGGCCCUAUGGGUUGUAAACCUCUUUUGCCGGGGAGCAAAGUGCCGCACGUGUGCGGUUUGGAGAGUACCCGGAGAAAAAGCAUCGGCUAACUACGUGCCAGCAGCCGCGGUAAUACGUAGGGGGCAAGCGUUAUCCGGAUUUACUGGGUGUAAAGGGAGCGUAGACGGCCAGACAAGUCAGAAGUGAAAGCCCAGGGCUCAACCCUGGGACUGCUUUUGAAACUGCCG